CCUACGGGGGACAGCAGUAGGGAAUCUUUCACAAUGGGCGAAAGCCUGAUGGAGCAAAGCCGCGUGAAGGAUGAAGGCCUUCGGGUUGUAAACUGCUUUUAUAAGCGAGAAAUAUGAUGGUAACUUAUGAAUAAGGAUCGGCUAACUACGUGCCAGCAGCCGCGGUCAUACGUAGGAUCCGAGCAUUAUCCGGAGUGACUGGGUGUAAAGAGUUGCGUAGGUGGCAUAAUAAGUAGCUAGUGAAAUCUGGUGGCUCAACCAUUCAGACUAUUAGCUAAACUGUUAAGCUCGAGACCGUUAGGGGUAACUGGAAUUUCUAGUGUAGGAGUGAAAUCCGUAGAUAUUAGAAGGAACACCAAUAGCGUAGGCAGGUUGCUGGGACGGUUCUGACACUAAGGCACGAAAGCGUAGGGAGCAAACGGGAUUAGAUACCCCGGUAGUC
RNAcentral lists this ribosomal RNA (442 nucleotides) under uncultured bacterium. RNAcentral's name for it is "partial 16S ribosomal RNA". It matches the Rfam family "Bacterial small subunit ribosomal RNA", at positions 338 to 795 of the family's 1533-position model. The record is from RNAcentral.